This 419-nucleotide ribosomal RNA is filed under the name uncultured bacterium. Its description in RNAcentral is "bacterial SSU rRNA". It matches the Rfam family "Bacterial small subunit ribosomal RNA", at positions 355 to 774 of the family's 1533-position model. The record is from RNAcentral.
UAAGGAAUAUUGCUCAAUGGGAGAAAUCCUGAAGCAGCAACGCCGCGUGGAGGAUGAAGGGUCUAUGACUUGUAAACUCCUGUAAAGAAGGAAAAAAUUCCCAUUUGAUGGGAGAUGAUGGUACUUCUGGAGUAAGCCCCGGCUAACUACGUGCCAGCAGCCGCGGUAAUACGUAGGGGGCAAGCGUUGUCCGGAUUUACUGGGUGUAAAGGGUGAGUAGGCGGUUGUAUAAGUCAGAUGUAAAAGGCACAGGCUUAACUUGUGUAAGCAUUUGAAACUGUACAACUUGAGUGCAGGAGAGGUAAGUGGAAUUCCUAGUGUAGCGGUGAAAUGCGUAGAUAUUAGGAGGAACACCAGUGGCGAAGGCGACUUACUGAACUGUAACUGACGCUGAGUCACGAAAGCGUGGGUAGCAAACA